AUUUUGCAGGUAUGUUCUGUUUCAUACUUACAAAAUAAGUGACAUGGUGCCUAGAUAUUCAACUCAUAAUUUGUCAUUACUUUCCACUUCGUUUAUACAUAUGUUGGUUUGAGCAAUGCAUUAGAAUUAAUCACAAAUUAAUUUUCUUAAGAUUUCAUUUUCCAUUGCUUGUUUGGUAUUAAGAUGAUGACUGACAUAGGCAGAUAACAAGUUAACAAUGACAUCAAGUUGUAGGUAGCUGCGACAUCAAUGGAUGGAGGGUACACCUGAUGUAGCGGACUUCGUCGUCUCAUCGACAAGCUCACUUGUGACAGUACACCAGCUGCAGCUCUGGGAGGGACGGUGUGCAUCGGAUGGGACCCGGCACGGCACGCGGCCGAUGAGGAAGAGGACCAGCGGACGGGGCUUGACAAGGUGUCGCUGGCUGCCAUGCUGGUGUCCAGAUUCAGGGCAGAGUGCGUGGCGGCACAAAGAAGGUUGGGAAGGAUUGCGUGAUAUACCUGUGCACCAUGCAGGAUGGAUCCGGCAUGGCGGCCGGGCCGACAAGGAAGAGGACCAGUGAAGGGGUGCUCGACAAGGCGGCGCUGGCACCAAUGCCGGUGCUCAUAUUCAAGGCAGGGGCAAGGCGGAGGCCCGCGAUGGCGCAAAGGUUGGUAGCUGCUACAUACGUGUUGCUUUAUGAUCUUGCCUUCUUGGAAGCGUGGGUGUUGCUUCAAUUGGAACUAAUAUUUUUUUGCCAUGACUUCUAGAUUGUCAUACUACUUGACUUUUGCAUCAGUGAUAUUUGAAGUUAUUCAAAUGAAUUUGUAAUUAAGUUCG
Triticum dicoccoides is the source of this 819-nucleotide long non-coding RNA. RefSeq lists it as uncharacterized. NCBI's taxonomy places the organism in Eukaryota, Viridiplantae, Streptophyta, Magnoliopsida, Poales, Poaceae. The record is from RefSeq and is a predicted model, not a curated record. The transcript has 2 exons.